RNAcentral lists this ribosomal RNA (445 nucleotides) under uncultured bacterium. RNAcentral's name for it is "partial 16S ribosomal RNA". It matches the Rfam family "Bacterial small subunit ribosomal RNA", at positions 354 to 796 of the family's 1533-position model. The record is from RNAcentral.
GUGAGGAAUAUUGGUCAAUGGGCGAGAGCCUGAACCAGCCAAGUCGCGUGAAGGAUGAAGGUUUUAUGAAUUGUAAACUUCUUUUGCAGGGGAAUAAAGUACGGUACGUGUACCGUUUUGUAUGUACUCUGCGAAUAAGGAUCGGCUAACUCCGUGCCAGCAGCCGCGGUAAUACGGAGGAUCCAAGCGUUAUCCGGAUUUAUUGGGUUUAAAGGGUGCGCAGGCGGGUUGAUAAGUCAGCGGUGAAAGUUUGCAGCUUAACUGUAAAAUUGCCGUUGAAACUGUCGAUCUUGAGUGCAAAUGAGGUAAGCGGAAUGUGUUGUGUAGCGGUGAAAUGCUUAGAUAUAACACAGAACACCGAUUGCGAAGGCAGCUUACUGGGAUGCAACUGACGCUCAUGCACGAAAGCGUGGGGAUCAAACAGGAUUAGAUACCCUGGUAGUCC